RNAcentral lists this ribosomal RNA (588 nucleotides) under uncultured bacterium. RNAcentral describes it as "bacterial SSU rRNA". It matches the Rfam family "Bacterial small subunit ribosomal RNA", at positions 338 to 942 of the family's 1533-position model. The record is from RNAcentral.
CCUACGGGAGGCAGCAGUGGGGAAUCUUGCGCAAUGGGCGAAAGCCUGACGCAGCAACGCCGCGUGCGGGAAGAAGGCUUUCGGGCUGUAAACCGCUUUCAGCAGGAACGAAAAUGACGGUACCUGCAGAAGAAGGAGCGGCCAACUAUGUGCCAGCAGCCGCGGUGAUACAUAGGCUUCAAGCGUUGUCCGGAUUUAUUGGGCGUAAAGAGUUCGUAGGCGGUCGAGUAAGUCGGGUGUGAAAAUUCUGGGCUCAACCCAGAGACGCCACCCGAUACUGCUUGACUUGAGUUCGAUAGGGGAGUGGGGAAUUCCUAGUGUAGCGGUGAAAUGCGCAGAUAUUAGGAGGAACACCGGUGGCGAAGGCGCCACUCUGGAUCGAUACUGACGCUGAGGAACGAAAGCAUGGGUAGCAAACAGGAUUAGAUACCCUGGUAGUCCAUGCCGUAAACGGUGGGCACUAGGUGUGGGUUUCUAUUAACGAAAUCCGCGCCGUCGCUAACGCAUUAAGUGCCCCGCCUGGGGAGUACGGUCGCAAGACUAAAACUCAAAGUGAUGACGNGNGAGAGNGCGAGACGACGAGAGGAG